This is a long non-coding RNA of Triticum dicoccoides, 2340 nucleotides long. RefSeq lists it as uncharacterized. The transcript has 4 exons. The record is from RefSeq and is a predicted model, not a curated record. Lineage: Eukaryota; Viridiplantae; Streptophyta; Magnoliopsida; Poales; Poaceae.
AUAUCUUCCCGUGAGUCCCUGAUCUUGAUCGUACACAUUUGCGUGUAUGAUUAAUGUACGAUUAAAUCGGGGGCGUCACUUCCGAUCUUCAGAUCUUCCGAUCUUCAGAUCUCCAUAUUUGGUGACUGCGGUGUUUUGAUAUUUCGUUGGAUUACUAUCUGUAUUUGGGGAUUAGCUAUGAAUUAAUGUUUUUACUUCGAGCAUGGAUAGUCGGCAGUACUGAUUUAGGUCUUUUUGUUGAACAGAAUGAUUAGCUCGUCUAUUUCUGGAGAACUGCACUAUAGAUGAUAUAUUUAUGAACGAUCUUAACACUGAAAAUGCAAAAUUUCUGGUAUGGUCUAAUGAUUGUCGGUGGGGUGUUACUUUUUUGCUGGCAUUGUCAAGUGCAGUUUUUGGAUUUCUACUGAGUUGUACAGUGUUUUGAGAUUUGUUUUUGUGUUAUGCUAUCUGCAGGAAAAUUCCCAGGGAUUUGAUUGACGGAUGCAUCAAUAUUUGACGUUGGAUUAUCCAUUUUUGCAGCACUAGCAAUGUUGUUUUUGUUUGGAAUGGCCAGUUCUCAAUUUCUAUUCUGUUAUCAACGAUAUUGUACUUCUUGUCAGGUUACAUUAUCUUACUUGGUUUCAGUGUAUAUGUAGCACAAAAAUAGGCAACAUGGUUGUUUCAUGCUCGAUUUGGUUUGUAGGUUACACUAAGGAACACCAUCAUAAGGAAAAGGGCAUUGCACUGCGUUCUUUAUAAUUGGCCUGUUACUAUUCGGUCUGCUGUAGUACUUAAUUGCUACACCAUUUCAAGUUAUGUAGUCUAAAAUAACCCUUUCAAAUGAACCUUUUUAAUUGAUAUUCAGAGCAUCAACAUGGUGGACUAGAUCAUGAAAUCAACUAUGAUCAUGAGAACUUGAAGCUAUUUGUUGACUAAAUUGUCAAUUGUUUUGCGUGAAUUGAAACUGGCAGUGUGAUGACAUUACUGUAGAUGCCUUGCUAUAUACAUUUGCCUAAUCCUCUCUCUCUCUAAUAUGUUCUCUUUUGUGAAGAUCCUUCGCAGAUCAAUUGGUGAGGCAGAAUGCUAAGCAUUGUUUCACAUUCAGGUUUGCUAUCAAACUCUCAAAAAGGAAAAACAACUUUACUCUGUUUUUUGGAGAACCUUCCUGUAGAGUACCUCGACAGAGACAAAUAUGCAAUCAAGGAUAUAUUCGAUGGAUUUUCAUGCAAAAUUUGGAGGAUAUUUUUGCAGAUAGUUUGGUGCUCUCAUGGUUAUUUUGUAGUGAUUUUCCUUCUGUUCAUUACUUGGUAACCAUCUACGGCAGCUCAGCUAUUGUCCAGUUGCUGACCUUGGUGAGUGAUUUAUGGUGCAUGUUUUUCUAUUAGUUUCUCUCUAUGCCAAUGUCUGAAUUUUAUCUUGCCGUUUUGCAUUUCUCCAGGCGUUUCAAUCUCACUGUGAUUCCCCGAGAUGCGUUAUUAGUAGGCAUCCACUUUGUAAUAAAAAUUUUGCAGUCAACUUGAAACGAGUCAUUUAUCUAGCUACAGCAACCUUCCUUGCUUUUGCAAAUAAUAUUGUAUGGUUGACCCUAUAGUCUAUACCUGCCAAAUAUUUACACGUUAGUAUAGCCAGAAAGUCAGAUGAUCGUUCCAUGUUGGUUAGCCGUCAUAAAUCAAAUUUCUAGAGUAGCAGAUGAUUCGUGUCAGGUUUCUUUUAGAGAUUGAAAUAUGUCUUGACUCUGGAAUUAGUAGUACAGCGUCAAGUUCUCCAUAGGUGAAAGCAUACUAUGCAAAACUGGCCGGCCUUCUAAAGCUCUGAAACUACUAUUUGUUGUGUAAUCUGUAUCCCCUUUUCAUACUUUGUAUAUGCUUUCUACUUACUAGGAAAAAUGCGUGAAAAUGAUGGCCUAGAGUAUGUGAAUUGCACUCAAAUAUAUGCAGGUUUCUUGCCAAACUAACUGCCACUACUGUAUUUCAGGUGCUUCUUCUGUAACUUAGUGUAUUUUGCUGGCUCGUCUCAUUUCCUGGCGAACUUUUUAGUCAAGAGCCAUGAAUAGGAGCAAGGCAUCACACUUUAGCUCUGAGAAGAAAAGGAUAUGAAGACAAAGAUAUCAGUGUUCUUCUCCGAAGCAAAAACAUUUUGCUUGUAAUAAUGAACUGUAAUUUACCACAAUCUCUAAAACAGGCCUACCUACUUGAUUUUGUAUUAGGAAGUAUGACUCAGCCAUAUAUAUUUGCAUUCACUUUGUUUAAUUAUGGUUUGUAUGCAUGAAAAUACCUUUUCAUAAACGAGCUUGAAAAUUCUUAUGUGCAGUGAAAUUGUAUCUUAGCACUUUGUAAAGAACGAAUGAAACACAUUUCGAAU